Long non-coding RNA from Cervus elaphus (red deer), 274 nucleotides. RefSeq lists it as uncharacterized. The transcript has 3 exons. NCBI's taxonomy places the organism in Eukaryota, Metazoa, Chordata, Mammalia, Artiodactyla, Cervidae. The record is from RefSeq and is a predicted model, not a curated record.
CUAGCUUCUGGUCACCAUGACAAUGAUGGCAUCUUAAAAGAAGCAUAACUGAUCAUUGAGGAUAAGAUGUAACAAUGGAAAUGGAGGAAAAUACAGAAAUAUGACAACAGAAGCAGGGACCACAAGCCAAGCAGAUGAGCCAAGUCUCCACAGAACAAAAUGAGUAAUGAGAAUAUCUGGCGUGUGCUGACUGCUUCAUAUGCACCAGGCCUGUGCUGUGAGCUCGAUGUUGGUUAUCUGAGUAAGCAGCCUGCAGGUUGCCAGCAGCAAACCU